UUGCGGCGUGCUUAACACAUGCAAGUCGAACGGAAAGGCCCUGCUUUUGUGGGGUGCUCGAGUGGCGAACGGGUGAGUAACACGUGAGUAACCUGCCCUUGACUUUGGGAUAACUUCAGGAAACUGGGGCUAAUACCGGAUAGGAGCUCCUGCUGCAUGGUGGGGGUUGGAAAGUUUCGGCGGUUGGGGAUGGACUCGCGGCUUAUCAGCUUGUUGGUGGGGUAGUGGCUUACCAAGGCUUUGACGGGUAGCCGGCCUGAGAGGGUGACCGGCCACAUUGGGACUGAGAUACGGCCCAGACUCCUACGGGAGGCAGCAGUGGGGAAUAUUGCACAAUGGGCGGAAGCCUGAUGCAGCAACGCCGCGUGCGGGAUGACGGCCUUCGGGUUGUAAACCGCUUUCGCCUGUGACGAAGCGUGAGUGACGGUAAUGGGUAAAGAAGCACCGGCUAACUACGUGCCAGCAGCCGCGGUGAUACGUAGGGUGCGAGCGUUGUCCGGAUUUAUUGGGCGUAAAGGGCUCGUAGGUGGUUGAUCGCGUCGGAAGUGUAAUCUUGGGGCUUAACCCUGAGCGUGCUUUCGAUACGGGUUGACUUGAGGAAGGUAGGGGAGAAUGGAAUUCCUGGUGGAGCGGUGGAAUGCGCAGAUAUCAGGAGGAACACCAGUGGCGAAGGCGGUUCUCUGGGCCUUUCCUGACGCUGAGGAGCGAAAGCGUGGGGAGCGAACAGGCUUAGAUACCCUGGUAGUCCACGCUGUAAAACGGUGGGUACUAGGUGUGGGGUCCAUUCCACGGGUUCCGUGCCGUAGCUAACGCUUUAAGUACCCCGCCUGGGGAGUACGGCCGCAAGGCUAAAACUCAAAGGAAUUGACGGGGCCCCGCACAAGCGGCGGAGCAUGCGGAUUAAUUCGAUGCAACGCGUAGAACCUUACCUGGGUUUGACAUGGAUCGGGAGUGCUCAGAGAUGGGUGUGCCUCUUUUGGGGUCGGUUCACAGGUGGUGCAUGGCUGUCGUCAGCUCGUGUCGUGAGAUGUUGGGUUAAGUCCCGCAACGAGCGCAACCCUUGUUCACUGUUGCCAGCACGUUAUGGUGGGGACUCAGUGGAGACCGCCGGGGUCAACUCGGAGGAAGGUGGGGAUGACGUCAAGUCAUCAUGCCCCUUAUGUCCAGGGCUUCACGCAUGCUACAAUGGCUGGUACAGAGAGUGGCGAGCCUGUGAGGGUGAGCGAAUCUCGGAAAGCCGGUCUCAGUUCGGAUUGGGGUCUGCAACUCGACCUCAUGAAGUCGGAGUCGCUAGUAAUCGCAGAUCAGCAACGCUGCGGUGAAUACGUUCCCGGGGCUUGUACACACCGCCCGUCAAGUCAUGAAAGUUGGUAACACCCGAAGCCGGUGGCCUAACCGUUGUGGGGGAGCCGUCGAAGGUGGGACUGGUGAUUAGGAC
This 1438-nucleotide ribosomal RNA is filed under the name uncultured organism. Its description in RNAcentral is "partial small subunit ribosomal RNA". It matches the Rfam family "Bacterial small subunit ribosomal RNA". The record is from RNAcentral.